CUCCUCAUAUGCUCUCCUCUCUCACCUCAACCAAACCUUCAGCCGUAGCCGCAACCGCAACCACCAUGCACCGCUCACAGAUUCUCUCUCCCCUUUUCUUUUCGUGCUCUCUCCUCUAGCCUCCUUUUACCCUAUCAAUCGUUUUCUAGGGUUUAUCGCCCUUAUUAUACCUCUAAAUCUCAAUCUCAUAUCCAAUCACCUCUCUCUAAUUUCUAAGGUUUCGAAUUACACUGAUGCUGCAAUAAUUGGAGGCUGGAGUUGGUGGUGAUUAAAUUGAUGUUGUUGAACACAAAGAGGCAAACUAAUAUCAGCAGGCUACACUUCUUCUUUCUCGAGGUUUCUUCAUCUUGCUCGAUCUUUCACUCUAUGUUACUCUCCUAAUUAAAGUACUUAUCGGUUUUUUUAAUUUCUGUAAUUUCGAUCAAUUUCUGUCGUUUUCUAAGAUAUUAGGGUUUAUUACUCUUAUCCGGGUUUUCAUUUCAUUUUUUAUCGGCCAAUUUCUGAAGCAUGCAUAUCAUUUUAUUUGUUAUUCAUAUCAUUUUUGAUAAUCUUGAAGCUGAUUGAUGGAAAUGAUUGAUCUGGGUGUUUGUAAUUCUUGUUAAUUUUGUGUUUUUCUAGUGUUACUUUGAUAAUUAUGCGUUUGUUUGUGAAAAUAGUUGGUAGAAUUGCUUAUUCUCUUUAGAUAUAUGAAGAUCUGUCGUGAUCAGUUUUGUGGGUUUUUUUUAUUGAAUUAGUUUUGUGACCGAUUUGAAUUAGAGAUCUAUUCAAUUAGUUUGUUUGUUUGAUUGGAUGGUUAGAAGUUUAGAACAUAUACGAUGUGUAAGCUGUGCUUGAUUGCGAGGAUUGUUCUCUGUUUUUGAAACACUAGUUUAGUUGUUUCUCUGAGUUUUGUCAAUUUGAUGUAGGCUGCGAAUGUCAUAUGCUCCUAGAUCUUGAGUUUUUGUUUUUGGUGGAAUUGAAGUGUGAUUGCUGUUAAUUUGUGUGUUUAUUUUGAGGAAUUGAACUAUAUAGCUGAUAUUAUUUGAAAAUUUUGAUCCUUCAACUUGUUAACUGUAUUAAAAUUCUGACCAUUGAUUUGGAAAACGAUGAUUAUUCUUUUGUAAUUGAGCUGUUUUCUGUCAAAUUUUGGAAAUAUGAAGUUUUUCUAUGUGGGUAUUUCUGGUGUUGAUGGAAUUUCGACUAGGUUGCUGCAAGAUUUUGGUUUUUUUGGGGAGGGUAUUGGUGGUAAGGAAGGGGUUUCUAUAUUUUGAUUAUGUAGGGAUUUGCGAUUGAGGAAGCGGUGUUUUGGGUUGCUGGCAUUGUUUGGAACAGUAUGAGAAUUCUUCUCUGCUGGUGAUGUUGGUACCGUUGAUAAACUUGAGUUGAUCUUGUGGAGUUGUGGGUGCUCUCGAUUGUUGGGAUUGAACUUGCUUGUUGGCUGGCUGUGUAAUGUAUUUUUUUAGUUUUUUGUUUUUAUUUAUUUCCUUUAUCUUCUGACAAUAUGGGCAUUUCUAAUAUUGAUGGUAUUGAACUGGGUGUGAGCAGUUUUGGCUGGAAACCGACAAGGCGGCUUAUCUGCUCAGGUUUUCCUGUAGUUUUUUCCUACUCUACAUCUUUGUAUGUCCUUUUAGAAUUGGAUUGAUUGAUCACUUUGGCAUCUCAAAUUCUUGCUUUUAGCUUUUGUGUGCAUUAAGCAGAGUCACGAGCAUGAUAUUUGUCAUGGUGAUAUUAAGUGUGAGAAUGUGCUGGUUACCUGGCUGACUUUUCAUCUUUUAAACCAACCUAUAUUCCUAAUGACGACGAUCCAUCUGAUUUCUCAUUUUUCUUUGAUACUAAAGGAAGAAGGCUCUGUUAUCUCGCACCUGAGGUCUCAAGUGGGACAGUAAUCCCCAUACUAUUCAUAUUUUGACCAAGCCAAAUUCGGAUUCUGUUAAACAUCUAUGCUCUUGAACUAGUCAGGUUGCUGUCAAGAAAAUGAAGAGGAAGUUCUAUUUUUGGCACAGCAGCGCAGCAGAACAGAAACAGCAGCACAGCAAACAGCAGAGAAGCAGGUCAGCCUGAAGACGCAACAACACAUCAGCCAGCAGAGCAGCCACCAGCACAACAGAAGCAAAACCAAUCACCCAGCCAGCUUGAACAGAGCAGAAACACAGCCACAGAAGCAGAAUAACCACAACCAUCAGAGCAGAAACACAACCACAACCAUCAGAGCAGAAACACAGCCACAGCCAGCAGAGCAGCCACCAGCACAAGACCAGGACAGCUAGUUAAAUGAAAUGCAAGAAAGGUCGAUCAGAGAUAAGUCUGGAUUAUUUAAUUUCUUUUGGACGAAAAUUGUAAUAUUACAGCCUUUUUUUUAAUGAAAAUAUGUAACUUUGUAUAUAUGUUAA
This is a long non-coding RNA of Chenopodium quinoa (quinoa), 2369 nucleotides long. RefSeq lists it as uncharacterized. The record is from RefSeq and is a predicted model, not a curated record. The transcript is spliced from 5 exons. NCBI's taxonomy places the organism in Eukaryota, Viridiplantae, Streptophyta, Magnoliopsida, Caryophyllales, Amaranthaceae.